Fukomys damarensis (Damara mole-rat) is the source of this 109-nucleotide small nuclear RNA. NCBI's taxonomy places the organism in Eukaryota, Metazoa, Chordata, Mammalia, Rodentia, Bathyergidae. The record is from Ensembl.
GUGCUUGGUUUGGCAGUACAUAUGACUAAAAUUAGAGUGAAAACAGAGAAGAUUAGCAUGGUCCCUGGGUAAGGAUGAUAUGCAAAUUCGUAAAGUGUUUCAUAUUUUU